Molecule: ribosomal RNA, 156 nt
Filed under: Acinetobacter bereziniae
Lineage: Bacteria; Pseudomonadati; Pseudomonadota; Gammaproteobacteria; Moraxellales; Moraxellaceae
Description: partial 23S ribosomal RNA
Rfam family: Bacterial large subunit ribosomal RNA
Source: RNAcentral
GUUGUAUAGUCAAGUAAUUAAGUGCAUGUGGUGGAUGCCUUGGCAGUCAGAGGCGAAGAAAGACGUAAUAGCCUGCGAUAAGCUUCGGGGAGGCGGCAAAUAUCCUGUGAUCCGGAGAUUUCUGAAUGGGGAAACCCACUUACCAUAAGGUAGGUA